Molecule: long non-coding RNA, 429 nt
Organism: Patella vulgata (common limpet)
Lineage: Eukaryota; Metazoa; Mollusca; Gastropoda; Patellidae
Exons: 5
Source: RefSeq, a predicted model, not a curated record
AUGGUAAAUGCUAAGAUGGCUGACGAAAAUUCUAAAUAAUUUUUUCUAACAACGUUUUAUAGAAAAAAUGUCUAAACUAGCAACAACAACCGAUACGAAUUUACAACCGACAUUGGGUAAAUGGGUCUGGAAAGAAGAAACAAAUACUUUAGAGUUCGUCAGUCUGCACCCAGAUAAAAAAGACAAGAGAAGAAAGAACAAGGGUCAUCAUGAUAAAAAUAGACUUGAUAGAGUCGUGUCAAGUGGGGCAAGAAACCUUGGAGGUGGUAAGGUUCGAGGUCCAGCCAGGUUAACAAAUGCAAAAUCUCCCAAAGCCAACAGACGAGAUGUAGAAAAUGAUAAAGUUAUGUUAGAAGAUAUUAAACGGGUAGCACAUGGUAUGAUGUCAGAGGUUGAUAUAAUACCUGAUUCUUUUAAUAUGUUAAAUGG